CUAGAGGAGGACAUGCUAGAAGUUGAUUGUCCUUGUGUCACCCCUGAAGUUGUCUUGAAAGCAUCUGGUCAUGUUGAUAAAUUUACUGAUCUUAUGGUUAAAGAUGAAAAGACUGGAACAUGUUACAGAGCUGAUCACCUUCUUAAAGAUCAUUGUAAAGAUAAGCUUGAAAAAGAUCUGGCUAUGAGUGCUGACAAGGCUGCUGAAUUCAAACACAUUCUUGCUGUUCUUGAUGAUCUUUCAGCUGAGGAACUUGGUGCAAAGAUCAAGGAAUAUGGCAUUGUUGCACCUGACACUAAGAAUCCUCUUUCGGAUCCUUACCCUUUCAAUCUCAUGUUUCAGACCUCAAUUGGUCCUUCUGGCGUAAGCCCUGGGUCAGUAUUAUAUCUUAUAACAAUCAUGGUUUUACAUUCUUCCAUAUUUUACUCGUUUCAUUUGAUAUGAUUCAGGUAUAUGCGACCUGAAACAGCACAAGGCAUAUUUGUUAACUUCAAAGACUUGUAUUAUUACAAUGGUAACAAGCUACCUUUUGCUGCUGCUCAAAUUGGUCAAGCUUUCAGAAAUGAGGUCAUUUGCUUUUAAGCCCCAAAUACCAAUCUUGUUAUUUUUAUUUUGUUAAGGUCUACUCGGAUUGGAUUUUCUUUUUGGGCCCCUGUUUUUCGGUUUUUAGUCUUUGAAGCAAUAAAAUUUGGAGUCGAAUAAGUGACAUUUUGUUGUCAUCUUUCUUCAGAUAUCUCCUAGGCAAGGUCUUCUAAGAGUCCGUGAAUUCACACUUGCAGAGAUCGAACACUUUGUGGAUCCUGAUGAUAAAUCACACCCAAAAUAUUCUGAAGUUGAAAAGCUUGAGUUUCUCAUGUUCCCAAGGGAUUUACAAAUGUCAGGCCAAUCUGCAAAAAGACUUUGUCUUGGUGAAGCCGUUUCUAAGGUUAGUUGUUAUUCGGUAUUUUAAAGCAAAGUAUAGGAAACAGCAAUUAAACAUGAUUUUCUUCACAGGGGAUUGUGAACAAUCAAACACUUGCAUACUUCAUCGGAAGAGUAUAUCUAUUUUUGACACGUUUGGGGAUCGAUGAAGAACGUUUGCGUUUCAGGCAGCAUCUUCCAAAUGAGAUGGCCCACUAUGCUGCAGAUUGUUGGGAUGCUGAAAUCGAAUCCUCUUAUGGUUGGAUCGAAUGCGUUGGGAUUGCUGAUAGAUCUGCUUAUGACCUACGUGCACACACGGUACCCUUUUGAAUUUUGAUUUUCUUUGUUGAUUGAUUUUCAUGUCAUCAUGUGGACAUAUGACGUGGCAGGUCUAUUGAAACAAUAGUAAAUAACAUUUUUGGUCCCACGAGUAUAGCUGAUUUUGUAAGUUUUGUCCUAAAAUGUUUUCUUGCUUUUUGGUUUUUAUUUGUAACGAUUUAUUAUCCAGUUCCAAGUAAAAUGAUUGAUUUUGGUCCCCAAGUAUUGUUGAUUUUUGAAAUUUUGGUCCUAAAAAUAGAUCUGGCAAUUUGAUACACGACAUGAGUUUUUCAUGUAUAGGUUUUAGAAAUUCGUGUUUCGUGUCUUACACGUGUCAAACAUGAAUUAAAUUUUGUUGACACGCGACACGUAUAAACAUGUAGAGACACGAAUUAAAAACUUGUCUAUUGGUGUCACGUAUCAGACAUUAAUUAUGUGUCGUUCGUGUUUGAUACGUAUACACGCCACACUGACACGGAUUGUCAGGUCUACCUAAAAGUAUAGUUAUUUUGCUUGGAACAGAAAACGUUACGUAAAACCUCAAAUAAGGACCAAAAUUGCAAAUGAAAAUUUUUUGGGAACAAAAUUGAAAAAAAUCAACUUUACUAACAAAAUUGUAAUUUACUUUUGAACAAUUUCAUUAGAGCAUACGGUGUGGAUCGUGUUGUUUUUUGUUGUGGCUGAGUUGGCAGCCCAUAACGCCGUUAUAACAUCAAAAACCCCCCCCCUCCCCCUUCUUAUUGCAUCUUGUUGUGGUGCUUCUUGUUGUCUCCAUGACAAGAAGAAACGUGAUCACCUAUUGGCUGCCAAAUUAUCUCUCUCUAUUUCUCUCCUCUUAACAUGGUGUUAUAACACGAUGAACACCACCCCCUCAUCUUGUUGCUUCUUGUUAUAAUACCACUUCAAGUUGCCCAUACCAUAUGCUCUUACAUAGUAACCAAUUUUUAGUUUUGUUGCAAUGUUGAAACAUUGAAGGGAAAAUGUCAUCAAUCAGUAUUCAAGUUUCACAAAUGUUCCAUUGUUGUGAAAUUUUGUUUGGCGAUGUUGGCUUUGAUAGUUUGAUACUGAUGUUCUUUGGGUUGAUUAUUGUAUUGAUGUCUUCUUGACAUGUAAUGGCAUUGCCUACAUUGAUUUUUGAAUGAAAAUGCUUUGCAACAUUUGUUCAAUAAUUUAAAAAAUAGUUUUAAAAACUUACAAUGCAGCUAGAUGAUAAUUGCAAUGUUUCUAAUGAUAUUCUUGAGUCUUGAUUUUUAUAGGACAAAAGUGGUGUUGCUCUUGUAGCUCAAGAGAAAUUUGCACAACCUAAAGAAGUUGAGGUAAUUAUUCUAGUUGUGUAGUUGAUGGUUUUAUAUUUUUAAUGGAGGAAAUUGCGAAAAUUUGGUGUAUUUUUUUUUUCAGAAAGUGAUUAUUACUCCCAUUAAAAAGGAGCUUGGGCUUGCAUUCAAGGGUAAUCAAAAGAUGGUAGUUGAAGCAUUGGAGGUAUAAACAAAUUCUUCUCUUAACUAUCAAACAGCCCCUCCCUAUACACCAAUUCUUGAUUUCCUGUUUUACGUAGACGAUGAGUGAAAAAGAGGCGAUGGAUAUGAAAUCUGUUUUGGAAACAAAAGGGGAGGUGGAGUUUGAAGUCUGCACUCUUGGGAAAACUGUUACAAUAACCAAAAAAAUGGUGACAAUAUCAAAAGAAAAAAAGAAAGAACACCAGAGAGUUUUUACACCUUCUGUUAUCGAACCUUCUUUUGGCAUUGGUUGAAUCAUCUACUGUCUCUAUGAACAUUCUUUCUACAUGAGACCAAGCAAAGCCGGAGAUGAACAGUUGAAUGUCUUCCGUUUCCCCCCUCUUGUGGCCCCCAUCAAAUGCACUGUUUUCCCUUUGGUUCAGAACGCUCAAUACGAACAAGUUGCUAAAAACAUCUCCAGAUCUUUGACUGCAGCCGGGAUUUCAAACAAGAAAGAUAUUACAGGUUUGCCAUUGUCUUGUUUGAUUACUUCUCAUAAGAAUUUUAACUUAACAUGUGUUUAUAUUGUAUAGGUACGUCAAUAGGAAAACGAUAUGCAAGAACAGAUGAGCUGGGUGUGCCAUUCGCUGUGACUGUGGAUUCCACGUCAUCAGUCACAAUCCGUGAAAGGGACAGCAAGGAUCAAAUCCGUGUCAGCAUCGAUGAGGUGGCGGCUGUUGUUAAGGAGGUCUCUGAGGGCCGUGCCACAUGGGCAGAUAUCUUGAAGAAAUACCCCGCCCACACUUCUCUUUCUGUGAAGGAGGUUUUUUGGCAAUUUUUUAGUUUUUUUAAGAGUUUUGGAACUUUUCGUAAUUUCUUUACUUUAUAGGCGUUGUUGAGUUGCAAAUCUCGGAACUGAUGAUGUGAUAUUUUUAUGUAUAGUGGUUUGAUAUUGUUUAUGUUUUUGUGAUGUAAUUACCACUAUGUAUAGUGCUUAGUUAGUGUGAUUAAGCCUAAGCUUCCUAUAAACUUCAAAUCUAUAUCUUGUAUUUUCACUCUAAUCAAUAAAGUACUAAAGCUUUGACCAUAUCAGAUCACUUGUACUUUUACUUUUACUGUUUGAUUCAUGACUGAUUUGGAAUGACAAUGGGGCGGGGCAGGGUAUCCCAUCCCCAAACCUGAUAUCAAAACUUGUUCCCUUCCCCGACCCGAUAUCCGCGGGUUUCUUAUCGGGGCUGAAAAUUUCCCCGAACUUGACCCUAAACCCAAAACCUGAAAUCUAUGCCAAAAAAAGUUAAAAUUGUUUGGAAAAACCUACAAUGGAACAGUGAAAAAUUAAAAUUUACAUAGGCUUACAACAUCAAAUACGUUCAUAACAUCAUUUAACCAUGUAGAAUUUAGUAGUAGUCUAAUAUUGUUAUAAAAGCAACCAACCAAGAAACCAAGUACAAAAUAUGAAAAACCAAAUUCAUCGCAAUAGUACAUUACAUUUAAACAUUAAAACAAACUCAAAAUCAAACCAAAUCAUCCAAACUUGUUGUCUCGUUUUCUGUAGUGUCUCCUACAAAAUGUUAAACAAACCCAAAAUCAUACCAAAACAUCCAAAGUAUAUAAAAGUAAUAUUCUUAUUAUCGUCAUUUUACAUCUUUCACAUCAUAAUAAAAUUCAACAUAACGACAAUAUGUCACUUCUAAACAAGUUAUUGUAUAUAAGAAAACAUAAAACAAUUUCAAAAAAAAAAUAAUACUAAUAUGCAAAAACGAUUUAUAUAUUAAUAUACAAUAAUAUAUUAGCUCGAAUUUCAUUCAACAACCAACUUUGAGCACACAUUAAAGCCUUCAAUGUUUAUGCAUGAAGUCGACUACGAUGAAGACUUGGGGCACCAGCAACGCCCUCUCCUGGAACUUGGCGGUUAUCUCCGCCACAGUCUCCGUCGGCUGUCUCAUAUCCAAAAACUCAUUGGCCAGCUGUUGAAGCUCGACAGGCGGCACAAACUCUGCCCUGAACCUGGUCGCGAAGUCCGACCAAGUCAUAGCCUCGACAGCUGAGGCUCCCAACGAGUCACCCACGGACUCCCACUAAUCCCUAGCUCGAUCUCGUAAACACCCUGCUGCAAACCUCACCUUCGACCCCUCAGGGCAGAAGCUGAUCAUCUGUACAGACUCAAUGUCUGCAAUCCAUCGCCUGACAGCUAUGGGGUCCUUUACCCCGUGAAAAUCCGGUGCACCACUGCCCCGGAAGUCCUUGAAGGACAGCGUGCAAGAUCCCGACUGGCCAGAUGCCAUGUCACUCCUGAAUGCCCUGAGGCGAUCCUCCAUCAACUCCAAUAUCCCUUCCUUGAUCGACCCGAAUAUAAGGGGGGUCAACUCAAGGAUGCCUCUGGUGAUCUCUGACGCGAUGAACUCGCGUAGCCCCUCAUCUACUGGCUCGGAACCUGAUCCCGAACCCGAUCCCUCUCCUUAACUGCCAACUACUGGCCUCGAGCGUAGUACCACCAUUCUGAAAUACAAAAAUAAUAAUUGUUAGCGAUACUGACACCUCUGGAGGGAUCACACGUACUACAAGUUCUCUGGUCUUAUCUUGGCCUUCCUUAGUUUCGGAUACGGAUCCUCUGCUUUCAGUAGUACGGGCCCAUACUACCUUCCACAUCUAUCCGUACCUUUUCCAAGGUCUUCCUUGACUCCACCAGGUCUCUUUUACUACCGCUGAUCACUGUUAUACUCAUCCUAGGCUUGCCCCGGGAAAUCUCUAACUCCACCCUACCCGGUCCUCAGCUGCUGAAGGCCUCCUUGUAAUGCCAAUUAGUCAUUACCUGAAUACCAUCACAUGUGUUGAGGCUCAGAUAAUCCUUCGAGUAACAGACUCGUCUCUACACGAUUAGACUCAGACAAAAGCCGCGCAGUAAGGCCAAAUCCAGCACUCUAAGAUUAUUCAACCCUGAUCACAUGUGACGUGACGUAUUCAUAUAAUGUCUAACUCUCAUCACUCAAAGUCCUCACGAAGCACAAAGCAAGCAGCAUUCAGACACAAGGAAACAAUCUCAGGCAAAUAUGUCCUCAUAGAGGAAAGUUGUACUAGCAUACAAUGCUAAACACACACUAUCUGGCAUAACCCUAACAGGCUAUCCUACUACUGUCUACUCAAUUCUAGCAUGCAAUUUUCAUACACUGAAGCACAUAAGGCAGGCACAUAAGGCAUCACUCCUAGAUCCUUAGUCCUAUUCUAGUAUGUUGUUCUACUGAAACUGAUAAACAUAACAUAAGCUGGUAUGGGUACUUUGGGGAAUACUUACUUGAGCUCGGUCGGUCGCACACAUCACACACUUCGUUCCUUCUUAAACUCUUUACUUAGCUUUUCGGAAAAAUAUUUUCUUCCUUAAAAUCUUUUAAAUCCCUUGAUUUGAGUUCAGACACCCCCGAAGGCGUGUCCGAAUCCCUCAAACCAGGGCUCUGAUACCAACUUGUAACAUCCCAAAAAUAGGAGCAAAAAAUUUCAUUUUUAAAACAUACAAUUUGCAAAACAUUAGAAAUAAAACAUUCACGGAUUAUGUCAUUUCAUAAAAGGUGUUGCUUGUUUGGAAACCAUUUCAUAAAACAUAAUACUAUCAGAGUACAAAACCCCAGGAGGAUCCCAUAGUGCGGAAUACAAAGCGUGUGUGUGAUGUACCGCUACCGUGCUGGCUCCUUCCCCUUCGAAGAAGAGGUACCUGAAACCAAAACUGAAAACUGUAAGCACGAAGCUUAGUGAGUUCCCCCAUCUUACCACAUACCAUACAAUCACAUAUCAUACACACUGCCGGACAAUUCUGGGGUGCCUGACCUACCCGGUACGGCCAUUCUGGGGUGCCGACCUACCCGUGUCAAGCCGUUAUGGGGUGCUGACUACCCAUGUCAAGCCAUUCUGGGGUGCUGACUACCCAUCGGUCCUAACAACCGAUCCUAGGGGACUAUUUCACCCCCUACUGCUACUAUCACAUAUAUCAUAACAUAACAUAUUAUCAAACAUAUCUAGGGCGUCCGAUCUACCCUUCGGUCCUAACGACCGGGCUUGGGGACUAUUCCCCUCCUACUACCACUAUCACAUAUAACAUAUCAUGCCAGCAUAUAAAUAGAUCAUCACGUACUGUCAGACAUAUCUGGGGUGUCUGACCUACCCUUCGGUCCUAACAACCGAACUCCACUAUCAUCACAUAUUCAUAUCAGGCCAUCAUAUAACAUAUCAAGUAGUAGCAAACCCAGAUGAUAUCACAAAGAGAAUCAUCUAACAAACAACUCCUACUGGUGGGCCGACAUUGUGGCCGUAGACCCACCGCUACUGGAAGGUAACUCACCUCAAAGUAGCUGCUGAUCUGCGUGGGAAUUGACUGUCUUCUGCUGCUGCUGUCCCGGAAGUCCUCCGGCUAAAAUCCCCACGAAACACCCAGUCAAAUACUGCUAACCGUCCUCAGGGUAAAAUGACCAUUUACCCCCGACAGAGCCAAGAGUCAAAGUCAAAGUCAACUUCCAGUUGACCCGACUCGCCGAGUUGGCCUGCCAACUCGCCGAGUCCCUAUCCUUUUGUCUGAUCAUAACCCCGUCUCUACUCGACGAGUUUUCCUUUUAAUCCAAGGUCCAAUAGUCCUUCAUCCUACUCGUCGAGUUGUAUGAACAACUCGCCGAGUUCACGUUCAUCCGAAGAACAUGCUAUGAUGCGACUCGUCGAGUUGUAUGAACAACUCGCCGAGUCUGUUCUUGAGGCAAGAAGAUUGCCUUGGACUCGCCGAGUCAGGGCAUUGACUCGCCGAGUUUCUUAACGGGUGAGUCUGGCUUCCGACUUACUGAGUCACACCCCAUGACUCACUACUCCACUCCGCAAACACAAAAAGGGGAAACUCGGGGACUCGCGACUCGACUCACCGAGUCCGAUGAACGACUCGCCGAGUCUAUCGCAUGCAAACACUAAAUAUUCGAUUUUGCUUGGAUCCAGCUCAUGCCAUACAUAGAUAUGGGUUUCUAGGGCCUGGUUAACACGUAAAGUUUCCAACUUUACGUGUAAAUAAACACCAAUGAAGGUUUUAGGGCUCAAAAUGCACUAAAAGAGUAGAUCUAGGGCUUUCAUGCAAUAUGGCUCCAUAAAGGCAGUAGAUCUGAGCUCCUGGAGCUUAAUCAUGCCUAGAUCUAAGGGUUAAUCAGCUUAUUACAAACCCUAAUUCAUAAUCAAGCUUGGAAAUGGCUUAAGAAGGACUUUAAUGGAGCUAUAAAGGUCUACCAGCAUGAAAACAGAGGGUAACUGAGUUAUACCUCAAGGGAAUAACUUGAAAUAACACCAAGAUGUCUGGCCUCCUUCUUCUCUUCUUGAUCUACUCUUCUCUUCUCUCAAAAUCUUCAAGAAACACACCAAAACACUUCAAUCUCUCAAGGAAUAAGGGUUUGGACGAUGUUGGGAGCUCUGAGGGUGAAAGGGGCGAGGUUGGGGCGCAUAAGGUUGGUUUAAAUAGGGUGCAAACCCUUGAAAUUUAGGGUUUCAUCAGAUAGCGGGGACUCGCCGAGUCCAGAAUGUGGACUCGCCGAGUCGCCAACUUAAACGUGCUCCCAAACCCGUCUCUACUCGGCAAGUCGGGCCUACAACUCGUCGAGUCUAAGGCCAAAAUGCAAAAUACUUAGAUAAAUUUUUACGUACCGGGAACCAGGUGCUACACACUAACGCCCCCAACAACAACAGAUUUCUUACUCCUUUCCUCCUAAAACCAUUUCCUCCUAAUUGCUCUGAUCGCACAGGGCCGUUCCCUUCCUAUCCAUAAUCCUCAUCGGAAACCAGCAAGAACAUCUGUCGUUACCUUCACCACCAAAAAGCACAACCCCUCCCUAUUUCUCCGAUCUCUAGUUCCUCCUGCACUGUUUCGAUCUCUCUUGUUUCCCUCUCCAACCCUUUAUUUCUUACCUAUUUUCUCUACCAACAAUCGCCAAAAAAAUUAUAAUCACCCAAGAUGACCAAAUUCUUGCUGGAGUUGUCAAAUAUGUCAGAAACCAUCUAAACUUCUAUAACAGGUCAUAAGUUUGAUGAGAAAAUGUUGACAAAAAAAACUCAAUGACUAAAUGAAUACCAAUAAAAAAAAGGUUACCUUUUAAAAUUAUUAUCCCAACAAAAAAUGACUGAAACCAAUUCGAAAACACCUAUCCUAAAAGGGAAGUGAUUUGUACACAACAAUUUUUCUCCGAUCACAACAAUUUAUGAUUUAUAGAGUUGCAUAGUACAAUAUUUUAAAGCAUAAGUUGUUGUGUAUGGAGAAAAUUUGUUAUCUAUAAAUAAGCUCCCAUCAUAAAAAGAUCAUAUAACCAAGACAAAACUGCAAAAAAUGGUCCUUAUGGUAUGUUAAAAUUUGCCACUUUGGUCCAAAAAGUUUUGGAGUUGCACCAGUGCUCCAAAACUUUCAUUUUAUUGCGAGUUUGGUCCAAAGCAAUUAAUUUUUUUUCAAAUGACGGAUUUGCCCAUUUUAUUUGUUUUUUUCAUUUUCUUUUCUUUACUAUUAUCUAAUUACAAAUUUACAAUAAAAUGAAAAAUGAAAAACAAAAUAUAACCCUUUUCCCUCUUUACAGACUCAAUAUCACCCUCUUUCUAUUUACUGUUCGGCAAAAAUAUCAACGCCAUUGCCGGAAACUCGAAUCCACCACUGCCACUGUCGUCUUCUAUCUCCUGCUCUGACGACAGCUUCGCCUUUGCAAAUGCUACCUCGACAAACACGACAACAAUCAUUUCGUCUCUCUCCUUCUCCGAAGACAUCACCGUUUGAAACCCCAGCGUUCAUCGACUUGGCGACGACAAUUGAUUGCUAGGCUUUUGGCGACUGAUUGUGGUGGCAGUCGUCUCUCUUUCCUGCUAAGGUUUUGGACCACCACCGUUUGCAGAUCCGAUUUGCCGCCUACCAUAGAGGUUAUGUCCAGAUUUACAGAGCUAGGGUUUGUAGCGCCGGCACCCUCAACCGUCGUCUUCAUUGAGUUGCAGAUUAGAGCUAAUAUUUGCAGAUCUAAAUGUCGCAAAUGGUGGUGAUGUGAACGUCAUCGUCUGUGAUGUUUGAACGUCGAUCUGUCUCUUUCCUUUCUGGCAAGUCGUGAAGCUACAUAUCUAAACAUCGCAAAUGGUGGUGAUCUAAACAAUAUCAAUGAUGUGUAAAAUACCAACCCGAUGAUUUCUUGAUGUAUCUCCCAUAUUUUCUAGAACUAGAAUCCAAAAGAAAUUGCUUGACAGAUGGAAUCCAACAAAGCAAAAAAUGAUCGCAUAGAAUUCUCUGAGUUAAAUCAUGUUGUACUACCUUCGAUCAUGACAUCAUCCAACUAGGUUUAUUAGUUUUGAGAUCCAAAAACUCCAAACCAUUUUUUCAUCCGAUCAUAUUUCACUUAUGCCAAGCUUGUGUAUGUUUUUAUCCACUAUGUAUUUACGCACAACUUUGUAAAUUUAUCAAUUCUUAAAUCUUCACAAUAACGAGAAUUACCCAUUCAAACUUUUACUAACGAGAAAACUAAAUAAAGAGAGGAUUAUGGUACAAAACUCAGGAUGUUGGUGGGGUAAUGGUAUUAGGAUAGAUUUAUUUUUAUUUUUGUUUUAUUUUAAUUACAUAAAUAGUUAAGUAAAUCAAAAGAAAAAAGUAAAACCAAUUAUAAAGGGUAAAAAGAUCAUUUUACACACUUUCAAUAUUUAAAACAAAACAACUCGUAACAAAAUGAAAGUUUUGAACAAUUGGUACAACUCCAAAACUUUUUGGAUGACGGUGACAUUUUUAUAGUUGAGAAAUUAAAUAUAUUUCUUAUAUUUUAUUCUUAUUAUUCUUUUAUCCAUAUUAAAUAGUAACAAGUGAAUUAAAAUAUUAUCAAUUUUAUUAAGGGCGUGUUUGGCACGAAGCUUUUGAAAGUGUUUGGGAGCUUCCGACUUUUAGUUUUUGACAAAACGCUCUAGUUUAAACAAAAAACUUCGUUUGUCAGUACGAGCGUUUAGCUUUGAGUUUAAACAAAACGUUUCAAAUCUAAAAGUUAUUUCAUCUAGCGUUUAACAAAACGCUAGUGAGCUUUUGAAAUCAGUUUCUAUAAUUACCCUUAAAAAUAUAUUUAUAUAUUUAUUUAUUUUUAAUCAAUUGUCCUUUUAUGUAAUUUUAUAUAUUUCAAAACAGCUACUUUUACAAAACACUUAUAUAACAAAUAAAAAUUAAGACUUUACCCUACCAACUAUAUGCUAACGGUUUUCGGCUAUCAUCUAAUUUUACGAAAAUGUAUUAUAGUUUUGCGUCACCAACAUGGUACCGUUUCUGUACGUACACUCCUUAUUGCCUAAUCAUAAUAAUUUCUAAAAUAUCCGAUAGAAUCUUUUAGUGGCCUACAUCAGAGCCCAACUACAGCCCAAAAACCUAAAACCCUAAUCCUACCGCCGGUGUGGGGCCAUUGAUCGGAACGCAUGCGUUUACAUUCCGCUAUCUUAUCAUCACUCGCUCACCACCGCAUCACCUCCAGAUUCCGCCAAAUAUAUUCUUUACAACGACCGGCUAACGCCACCGCACCAAUGGCCACCUCCGAGGACUCACUCCGACGAGCUCUUGCUGAGAAACAAUCCACGAUCGAUGCUAGCGGCAACACGAUACGUCAAUUGAAGUCUUCCGGCGCAUCAAAGUCGGAGAUAGACGAAGCCGUUAAAGCACUCAAUGCUCUGAAACUCGAGAAAACAUCGAUCGAGACUCAACUGAAAGCUUCCAUUUCUGGUGAUGCUAACGGCUCUGUUAUGAGCAGAGAUGCGUUCCGUCAGGCCGUCGUUAAUACGCUCGAAAGACGUUUGUUUUACAUCCCGUCGUUCAAAAUUUACAGAGGUGUUGCUGGUUUGUAUGAUUAUGGUCCUCCUGGCUGCGCCGUUAAGUCUAACGUCCUUGCUUUCUGGCGUCAGGUAUGUUGAGUUUUAUCUGAAUUUAUAAUCGCCACGAUGACAAUCAUACCGCUUAAAUUUUAUACUCUCAUCUCCUGCUUGAAAAUGCAAUCGGCUUUGUGAUAUCCUGUUCAUUUCGGAAAUAGGAUUUGCCGCUGUUUUCGAACUGAUUGGCUUUUCACCUCAAAAUUGAUAUGAAUCGCAAAACUUUCUGGAUAGUCCAAUAUAUACGAGGCUUGCAACAAAAUUCAUAUCGAUCUCAAAUCUAGGAUUUUUAAAUUUUCGCAUAAGGUAUUGAAGUGUGUUGCAAUUUGGGGGAGAAAGAGGAUUGAAUUCCAAACAUGCAGCGCCAAUGUGUGACUAAUUUUUCCUUGUAGGUAUUCGUCUCAUUUUUUACAAAAUGGACAGAAUUCAAUAUGAACUUGGUUGUUUUUUUGUUAUUUAGCUCCUAAAGUUUCUAUUGUCUAAGCCAGUUAUAAAGUAAUUUUCUGUACAACUAGGAGGAUUGGUGUCUAAUCUGAAAUAAAAGAUAAAUCAUUGGACACAGUUUUCCCAGAAUCAAAAGCCUUAAACAUCUAUACCUUACUUGAGUUUUAAAAUUGUGUAGCUUAAAGCAAUUUGCUACCAAGCAUCCCUAAGAAAGACUGACUAUUUAACAAACCAUUAAUUGACAUAUGAAUCUGUUUGAAUCAUGCGAGAGCUUAUUCAUUAUCCGAAGAUACAAUAACAUCAAAACUCAAUAAUGGAGAUAUGCCUCAACUAAACAACAAUAGAUUGGAUGUUGGAGAUGAUAGUGGAGGAUACUAAUAUCAUUUUGCUUAAAUUUUCUCAGCAUUUUGUUCUUGAGGAGGACAUGCUAGAAGUUGAUUGUCCUUGUGUCACCCCUGAAGUUGUCUUGAAAGCAUCUGGUCAUGUUGAUAAAUUUACCGACCUGAUGGUUAAAGAUGAAAAGACUGGAACAUGUUACAGAGCUGAUCACCUUCUUAAAGAUCAUUGUAAAGAUAAGCUUGAAAAAGAUCUGGCUAUGAGUGCUGACAAGGCUGCUGAAUUCAAACACAUUCUUGCUGUUCUUGAUGAUCUUUCAGCUGAGGAACUUGGUGCAAAGAUCAAGGAAUAUGGCAUUGUUG
Molecule: long non-coding RNA, 12661 nt
Filed under: Lactuca sativa (garden lettuce)
Lineage: Eukaryota; Viridiplantae; Streptophyta; Magnoliopsida; Asterales; Asteraceae
Description: long non-coding RNA (LSAT_LNC008593)
Source: RNAcentral